Molecule: ribosomal RNA, 253 nt
Filed under: uncultured bacterium
Lineage: Bacteria
Description: partial 16S ribosomal RNA
Rfam family: Bacterial small subunit ribosomal RNA
Source: RNAcentral
GUCCACGCCUAACGAUGUCAACUGGUUGUUGGUCUUACUGACUCAGUAACGAAGCUAACGCGUGAAGUUGACCGCCUGGGAGUACGGCCGCAAGGUUGAACUCAAGGAAUUGACGGGACCCGCACAAGCGGUGGAUGAUGUGGUUUAAUUCGAUGCAACGCGAAACCUUACCCACCUUUGACAUGUACGGAACCCUUUAGAGAUAGAGGGUGCUCGAAAGAGAGCCGUAACACAGGUGCUGCAUGGCUGUCGU